UGAACUUUAAGUUAAUAAAACUAGAAAUCUUCCAAAUUUCCAAUAAGAACCCUUAAGUUCAA
This 62-nucleotide transfer RNA is filed under the name Metacrangonyx remyi. Its description in RNAcentral is "transfer RNA Glycine". Lineage: Eukaryota; Metazoa; Arthropoda; Malacostraca; Amphipoda; Metacrangonyctidae. The record is from RNAcentral.